UUGGGUUCUAGAUCUGAGUAUAUCAAUAUUACCUUGUUCAGAACUUAAAGAGAAAUCUUGAGUUUAUGGACUUCAGGGGGAGUAUGGUCACAAGGCUGAAACUUAAAGGAAUUGACGGAAGGGCACACCAGGAGUGGAGCCUGCGGCUUAAUUUGACUCAACACGGGAAAACUUACCAAGACCGAACAGUAGAAGGAAUGACAGAUUAAGAGUUCUUUCAUGAUUUAUUGGGUAGUGGUGCAUGGCCGUUCUUAGUUGGUGGAGUGAUUUGUCAGGUUAAUUCCGGUAACGAACGAGACUGAAACCUAUUAAUUAGUUUUCUGCCUAUAAGACAGAAAUGUUCGCAAGAACAGGUGCGUAAGUACCACUUCUUAAAGGGACACAUUUCAAUUGUCCUAUUUUAAUUGUAGUUAUCUAAUUUCG
RNAcentral lists this ribosomal RNA (423 nucleotides) under Entamoeba histolytica. Its description in RNAcentral is "bacterial SSU rRNA". It matches the Rfam family "Eukaryotic small subunit ribosomal RNA", at positions 1046 to 1449 of the family's 1831-position model. The record is from RNAcentral. Lineage: Eukaryota; Evosea; Mastigamoebida; Endamoebidae.